GUAAGGAAUAUUGGACAAUGGGGGCAACCCUGAUCCAGCCAUGCCGCGUGAAGGAUGAAGGCGCUCUGCGUCGUAAACUUCUUUUAUCCGGGAAAAAUUGUUGGGUUUCUACCUGACUUGAUUGUACCGGAGGAAUAAGGACCGGCUAACUUCGUGCCAGCAGCCGCGGUAAUACGAAGGGUCCAAGCGUUAUCCGGAUUUAUUGGGUUUAAAGGGUGCGUAGGCGGGUUGUUAAGUCAGUGGUGAAAUCUUGCAGCUUAACUGUAAAAUUGCCAUUGAUACUGACGAUCUUGAGUACACUUGAAGUGGGCGGAAUAUGUCAUGUAGAGGUGAAAUUCUUAGAGAUGACAUAGAACACCGAUUGCGAAGGCAGCUCACUAAAUUGUAACUGACGCUGAGGCACGAAAGCGUGGGGAUCAAACAGGAUUAGAAACCCUUGUAGUCC
RNAcentral lists this ribosomal RNA (445 nucleotides) under uncultured bacterium. RNAcentral's name for it is "bacterial SSU rRNA". It matches the Rfam family "Bacterial small subunit ribosomal RNA", at positions 354 to 796 of the family's 1533-position model. The record is from RNAcentral.